GGCUGCCUGGCGAAAUGGUAUCGCGUCACUUUCCGGUACUACCAUUCCUGGAGCAUGGUGAAGAUUGCGGGUUCGAGUCCCGUGGUGGUCG
This is a non-coding RNA of Hypomontagnella submonticulosa, 91 nucleotides long. The record is from the annotation of a GenBank genome assembly. NCBI's taxonomy places the organism in Eukaryota, Fungi, Ascomycota, Sordariomycetes, Xylariales, Hypoxylaceae.